UACAGAGGGUGCAAGCGUUAAUCGGAAUUACUGGGCGUAAAGGGUGCGUAGGUUGUUGACUAAGUUAGAUGUGAAAUGUCUGGGCUUAACCUGGAUUAGUCAUUUAAUACUGGUUGACUAGAGUACAGUAGAGGAUAGUGGAAUUUCCAGUGUAGCGGUGAAAUGCGUAGAUAUUGGAAGGAACACCAGUGGCGAAGGCGGCUAUCUGGACUGAUACUGACACUGAGGCACGAAAGCGUGGGGAGCGAACAGG
This 253-nucleotide ribosomal RNA is filed under the name uncultured bacterium. Its description in RNAcentral is "partial 16S ribosomal RNA". It matches the Rfam family "Bacterial small subunit ribosomal RNA", at positions 524 to 776 of the family's 1533-position model. The record is from RNAcentral.